RNAcentral lists this long non-coding RNA (1663 nucleotides) under Mus musculus (house mouse). RNAcentral describes it as "RIKEN cDNA 1700061E17 gene". The record is from RNAcentral. Lineage: Eukaryota; Metazoa; Chordata; Mammalia; Rodentia; Muridae.
AUGGUAUGCAGAGGGAGGUGUGACACAGAAGCACAGGAGAAGAACCAUCAGAGACACAAGCAGUGACUAGGCUUACAUUGUCACAAGCAAAGGAACACCUGGGACCCGAAGAGCAGAAGUUUCUCCCCGGACCCUCUGAAUGGGCAGAAGGACUGCAGACCACUUACUUUUGAACGUCUUGCUUGCAGAACCGUAAAUAACCACUCAUAAGCUUGGGUUGUGAAAUUCUCAGAGGCAAGCUCAUCACCAGAUGUGGCCCACAGAGAGAAGAGCCCCAGCCUGGCUCUGAGUCCACAUGCAAGGAAGGGCGACCAUGCCCAGAAGAGGAGUUCCUUGGUUCCAGACGAAUCUCCAUUGUGACGUUGCUAGAAGAUGCUUGGUGGGACAAUGUAGAAGGUUUCCUCCCUGGUUUCAGAGCAGGCUGCUGCAGGUAGGAGGCAGACAUGCCCUCAUUGCUCUACUUACACAUGUCAUCCCUUAUGCCUCUUCUGUUGCUGUGGUGAGAGUAUAACCUCAUCCAUCACCUAUGGUGGAAAGUUUAUGCUUUCUUGUGUGCUGCCCUUGAAGGCAGGGACUGAGUCUGACUCACGGCAGUGACAGGUAUGUCAGAAACCUGCCUUACUUAUCAUCUAAUGCAAGUGUGUGUUCAUGUGUGUGCAGGUGCAUGUGUGUACAUGUGCACAUGGAGGGUAGAGAUCAGCCUCAAGUGUCGUUUCCCAGUCCAAUUUGUCGUUUCCCAGUUUUGGAGACAGCAUCUUUAUCUUUCACUGGCCUGGAGCUUGCCUGGUAGACUAGGCUGGCCAACCAGUGAGCCUUCCUGUCUCAUCUCCCCAGUGCUGGGACUACGAACACGCCACCAUGCCCAGACUUAUUUCUUUCCAUAUGGAGUUGGAGAUCAAACUCAGGCCUCCACACUUUUGAGGUUACCUCCCUCCCCCAGCUUCCACCUGCCUUUAGCAAGGGACACCUUCCAUGAUAAACCAGGCAGGCCUGGCAUUUUCCACAAUCCCCACCUGAGUCUUCUGAUAGACCUGAGGAGAGGCAAAGUUCCUCAUAGACGGAUGCCGGGAACACACAAUGCAUGGGGAUGCCAUGGAGGACGGCAGAGAGGACUGAGGCCUUCAGCUCCCCUGAAGCAACAUUUACUUGACAUUGUAAACCGAGGGAUGCACACUGGGGAUGGGACUCUGACCCUCUGUGAGAACAGCCCAGGAACUGUGUGUUGCAUUGCGGAAACCCUCUGAAGGGUCAGCACUGUCGAAACAAAACAAAGUCAAAAUGAAGACCCCAGGCACCCAGUUUAAUGCAAGCUGGAGUUCAGAUGUUGUCUCAGAUAUGAUUCUUAUUCAGCCAGUCAGUAUGUGUUUCCUGAAAUCUCACUGGUGUCACAGAGAGACAGCAGAGUGAUAUGCGUUGGCGGCCGGAUGACUUGAAAUGGCACUGCAAACACAAGAUGAUUUUACUUACGAAAUAUGGAGUUUUCAUAAAAUAGUUUGGGAUGAAGGAGACGGAGAAAAAGAACAAUGGGAAACCCCAGAAGACAAAACCUUUAAAAGUUCUUACGUGCUUGGUAUGCCUCUCCCUACUAAAUGUAAAAGAAAUCCCCCCAAAUAAAUAGUUUAAGAAAGUUUUGUAAACAGCAACUUAAUAAAAUUUACCCUAA